RNAcentral lists this ribosomal RNA (825 nucleotides) under Enterococcus hirae. RNAcentral describes it as "bacterial SSU rRNA". It matches the Rfam family "Bacterial small subunit ribosomal RNA", at positions 542 to 1364 of the family's 1533-position model. Lineage: Bacteria; Bacillati; Bacillota; Bacilli; Lactobacillales; Enterococcaceae. The record is from RNAcentral.
CCCGGGGUUUUUUGGGGCGUAAGCUUAGCGCAUGCGCCUUUCUUAAGUCUGAUGUGAUAGCCCCCGGCUCAACCGGGGUAGGGUCAUUGGAAACUGGCAGACUUGAGUGCAGAAGAGGAAAGUGGAAUUCCAUGUGUAGCGGUGAAAUGCGUAGAUAUAUGGAGGAACACCAGUGGCGAAGGCGGCUCUCUGGUCUGUAACUGACGCUGAGGCUCGAAAGCGUGGGGAGCGAACAGGAUUAGAUACCCUGGUAGUCCACGCCGUAAACGAUGAGUGCUAAGUGUUGGAGGGUUUCCGCCCUUCAGUGCUGCAGCAAACGCAUUAAGCACUCCGCCUGGGGAGUACGACCGCAAGGUUGAAACUCAAAGGAAUUGACGGGGGCCCGCACAAGCGGUGGAGCAUGUGGUUUAAUUCGAAGCAACGCGAAGAACCUUACCAGGUCUUGACAUCCUUUGACCACUCUAGAGAUAGAGCUUCCCCUUCGGGGGCAAAGUGACAGGUGGUGCAUGGUUGUCGUCAGCUCGUGUCGUGAGAUGUUGGGUUAAGUCCCGCAACGAGCGCAACCCUUAUUGUUAGUUGCCAUCAUUUAGUUGGGCACUCUAGCGAGACUGCCGGUGACAAACCGGAGGAAGGUGGGGAUGACGUCAAAUCAUCAUGCCCCUUAUGACCUGGGCUACACACGUGCUACAAUGGGAAGUACAACGAGUUGCGAAGUCGCGAGGCUAAGCUAAUCUCUUAAAGCUUCUCUCAGUUCGGAUUGUAGGCUGCAACUCGCCUACAUGAAGCCGGAAUCGCUAGUAAUCCGCGGAUCAGCACGCCGCGGUG